Molecule: ribosomal RNA, 453 nt
Filed under: uncultured marine bacterium
Lineage: Bacteria
Description: bacterial SSU rRNA
Rfam family: Bacterial small subunit ribosomal RNA
Source: RNAcentral
AAUAUUGGACAAUGGGCGCAAGCCUGAUCCAGCAAUGCCGCGUGUGUGAAGAAGGCCUGCGGGUUGUAAAGCACUUUUAUCGGGAAAGAAAAGCUUGAGGUUAAUACCCUCUAAGCCUUGACGGUACCCGUUGAAUAAGCACCGGCUAACUCAGUGCCAGCAGCCGCGGUAAUACUGAGGGUGCAAGCGUUAAUCGGAAUUACUGGGCGUAAAGCGAGUGUAGGCGGCUAUAUAAGUCGGAUGUGAAAGCCCCGGGCUUAACCUGGGAAUUGCAUUCGAUACUGUAUGGCUAGAGUUUGGUAGAGGGAAGUGGAAUUCCAGGUGUAGCGGUGAAAUGCGUAGAGAUCUGGAGGAACAUCAGUGGCGAAGGCGGCUUCCUGGAUCAAAACUGACGCUGAGGCUCGAAAGCGUGGGGAGCAAACAGGAUUAGAUACCCUGGUAGUCCACGCCCUA